CCCUUAGAUGUUCUGGGCCGCACGCGUGCUACACUGAUGCAUUCAACGAGUCUAAAACCUGGUCUGAUAGGGCUGGGUAAUCUUUUGAAAGUGCAUCGUGAUUGGGAUAGAUGAUUGCAAUUCUUCAUCUUCAACGAGGAAUGCCUAGUAAACGCAAGUCAUCAGCCUGCAUUGAUUACGUCCCUGCCCUUUGUACACACCGCCCGUCGCUCCUACCGAUUGAAUGAUCCGAUGAAUACCAUGGAUUGAGAGUACGAAUAGGUUCGCUUAUUUCUGCUGCUCGAGAAGUGGAGUAAAUCUUAUCAUUUAGAGGAAGGAGAAGUCGUAACA
Molecule: ribosomal RNA, 330 nt
Filed under: uncultured eukaryote
Lineage: Eukaryota
Description: partial 18S ribosomal RNA
Rfam family: Eukaryotic small subunit ribosomal RNA
Source: RNAcentral